RNAcentral lists this ribosomal RNA (268 nucleotides) under uncultured bacterium. Its description in RNAcentral is "partial small subunit ribosomal RNA". It matches the Rfam family "Bacterial small subunit ribosomal RNA", at positions 26 to 285 of the family's 1533-position model. The record is from RNAcentral.
AGAGCGAACGCUGGCGGCGUGCUUAACACAUGCAAGUCGAACGCGCAGCAUUCUGUAGCAAUACAGGGUGUGGGCGCGUGGCGAACGGGUGCGUAACACGUGGAUAACCUUCCUUGAGGUGGGAAUAACCCAGUGAAAAUUGGGCUAAUACCGCAUAACAUCGCGAUGGCACAUGCUGAUGCGAUCAAAGGCGCAAGUCGCCACAAGAGGGAUCCGCGGCCGAUUAGCUUGUUGGCGAGGUAAUGGCUCACCAAGGCAAUGAUCGGUA